This 1397-nucleotide long non-coding RNA is filed under the name Numida meleagris (helmeted guineafowl). RNAcentral's name for it is "lncRNA (ENSNMEG00000017750.1)". The record is from RNAcentral. Lineage: Eukaryota; Metazoa; Chordata; Aves; Galliformes; Numididae.
CCCUCCUCGGUGACAGAAAUAAAGUCCCUGGUUCAAAGAGUUCACUGAAAGAAUGAAGAGGCAAUACAGAAACUAGGAGGAAAUUGAUGAAUUGAGAGGAAGGAGAAGAAUGUCCCGCAGCCCUUCGGUUAUGUCCUCUUGACAGCUCUCCUGCAUUCUUACAUACAGAUGGCCAUCAUGGACAUCUGCGGCUAGGCUGUGGACAUGCAGAUACGCUCCCUGCCCUGGGGAAGAUCUGAGAUAAGCAGAGAAGCGACACACAAAUGGCAAGGAGGAGAGAGCGAUCUAAUCGAUUGGCCACGAGCUUGGUACAGUGAGAUGGGAAAAGCACACAGAGCAAAGGAAAGCAGGUUUCCACUGGGAGACAUGUGCUGCUCUCCCCCUCCUUCUGUUCGCCCUUGGCUUUUCACUCCCUUCUCCUUUGAGCCUUCUCUGUGCUUCCCAGGCUGAGAUGGUGCUCAGGGAUUGCUAACAUGGGGCCUGUGCAGGUUUGGGCUGGUUUGCCUGCUUUCUUGUUUAGUUUGCUGCCUGUCUCUGCCUCUCCUUGUCGACCUCAGCUAGGCACACAAUGCUGGCUGCUCCUUGCUGAAAUUGGCUCCCCUUCUGUUUCUCUGUCUGUUGAAUACCUAACACCUGAUGAUUGUCUUUGGAGUUUGACAUUUUCAAAUAGCUUCCAUAUUGCACACAAAGAUGAAAAAAAAUUGGCCUUUUUCCCCCCCUCCAUCUCUCCUUUUCUCACCCUUGCCAGGUGCCAAAUCUGAAUGCCGCAAUAACAAAGCAUUUCCUGCACUCACUCCCACUUUGCUGCACUGCACAUCUGCAGGUGGGGUGAGAGAAUGCAGAGCUAGAAGUAACUCCCCAUGCUGAAACACUUUGAUUUCAUACUUCAGAUUCCACCCAGACCUCUGUUUUUCAAGCUCCUUUUUUUAAAACAAUGAAGUUGAAGAAGAAAGCUGAGUGCCUUUGUUUCUGGACAAGCUAGAAAUCCAGAGAUGAGGCCAAAUCCGCCUGAUGACACUGUGCAGUCACAGCAGCAAUGCGGUUUUGGAAGUGUGAGCCAGUGGGAAGCCAGGAACUUGGCUGCGCAUAUCCACUCCUCUGAGCCCUGUCUCCAUCUCCACUUCUCACCACCAGACCCGAGGAGAGCUGUCAGACUGCAGAUCCCCACUUCACACCUCUCUGAGACAAGAGCUGGGACAGGGCACCGAGCUGCAUGCCCAUCCCUGGCUCCCACCCAGAUUGCUGUGCAUGGUUGGGGCCCUGCAGAGCCCCCUUUGACCACCAGAGGUCAGAAGCAAAACAUCGCAGCCCCACCACUGAGCCCUGAUUUCCUCAAUCGCUGUCCUGGAGAGGGAGAAGCAGAAGAAUCAGCAAAAAUACCGCUUCAUUCACAGUGA